GAUGACCCUAGGAAGUCAUUUAUGAUAGAAUUGACCCAAAUUUGAUAUGGCCUCUCCGUGAACACCUUAGCCUCAAAUCGGUCUGAACUAUGAGGUCAAGAGAAAAGUAGUUCUUGCUGACUUAUUAGUUUAGUAAAAGAUUGAGAGAUCUUGCUAGGGUAAGGAAUAGAUGAUAGAGUAGAAACCCAAAAUAAGAAUUACUUAUAACCAUC
RNAcentral lists this long non-coding RNA (212 nucleotides) under Gossypium barbadense (sea-island cotton). RNAcentral's name for it is "long non-coding RNA (GBAR_LNC002517)". Lineage: Eukaryota; Viridiplantae; Streptophyta; Magnoliopsida; Malvales; Malvaceae. The record is from RNAcentral.